GCCAGGCAUGGUGGUGUGCGCCUGUAAUCCCAGCUACUUGGGAGGCUGAGGCAGGAGAAUUGCUGGAACCCAGGAGGCAGAGGUUGCAGUGAGCAGCUGAGAUCAUGCCACUGCACCCCAGCCUGGGUGACAGAGCAAGACUCCGUCUCUA
Unclassified non-coding RNA from Pongo abelii (Sumatran orangutan), 151 nucleotides. It matches the Rfam family "Metazoan signal recognition particle RNA". From Rfam's summary of the family: The signal recognition particle (SRP) is a universally conserved ribonucleoprotein. It is involved in the co-translational targeting of proteins to membranes. The record is from Ensembl. Lineage: Eukaryota; Metazoa; Chordata; Mammalia; Primates; Hominidae.